RNAcentral lists this ribosomal RNA (120 nucleotides) under Aspergillus calidoustus. The record is from RNAcentral. Lineage: Eukaryota; Fungi; Ascomycota; Eurotiomycetes; Eurotiales; Aspergillaceae.
ACAUACGACCACAGGGUGAGGAGAACAGGGCUUCCCGUCCGCUCAGCCGUACUUAAGCCACACGCCGGUAGGUUAGUAGUAUGGUGGGUGACCACAUGCGAAUCCCUACUGUUGUAUGUU